This 2665-nucleotide long non-coding RNA is filed under the name Heterocephalus glaber (naked mole-rat). RNAcentral describes it as "lncRNA (ENSHGLG00100044797.1)". The record is from RNAcentral. Lineage: Eukaryota; Metazoa; Chordata; Mammalia; Rodentia; Bathyergidae.
GGCGUGUGAAGCCAGCAUGCCGAGGAGAGUGGAGUGGCCGAGGUGGGAGGUAGCCCCUGGAACCCAGCCCGCCACUGUCAUGUCUCGCAUCGCGUGCCAGGCCGCCGAGGUGCGGCUAAUUCCAUGCUCAGCUUCCCUGCCGCCCCGGCAGUCAGGGGUGGACGUGCCUCGGUCACCUGUGCUCCCUUGCCACCUGCACUGUCUCCGGGGGGUCGGCUUCUCUCUCCAGUGGGCUCCUGACUCCUCGCCGUAGGCACUGCAGUCCUCCGGUCCCCUCGGCCCGCUGGCCCCGUCCUGUCCCCGUUUUCCUUCUCACAGCUGGAUGCCCCCAUCCUGUGCCUGCGAGGGGUGUAGGCGGGAAGCUGUCACCAGGGCCUGGCCUUCUCUGAGACCCCAGGAGCCAGCCUUGUGGCCCUGCUGCUCCUGGAGAGGACGGCGGGUGACUUUGUCCCACGUCCCCCGUGCAGGUUGGUGGGUGUCUCCCUGAGAUGGAACCCAGACCGGAUGGCGAGUUAGGGGCAGAGACCUCAGGGGAGGAGAAGCCCUCACAUGGGAGCAGCACCUCGGGGCUGGGCAGUCACCAGGUGGCCAGAAGCCCCCACCCCUGUAUUGUUGCCAUUUCCCUGGGUGGUGUGAUUUUUGGAAGCGAGUCCCAGAGUCCAGCCUGGCCUGGGGACAGUCGGGCGCCUACUUGUGGGGGAGGAGGAGCAGGAUGUGUGGACCUUUGUUAAAAACCCCACCAUGGGUGGGCCGUGGUGGCGCACACCUGAAACCCCAGCACUCUGGGAGGCUGAGGCAGGAGGGUUGCAAGUUCCAGCCCGUCCUGGGCAGUUUAGCAAUUUAGAGACCUUGUUUCCAAAAAAAAUAAAUGGGCUGGGGGUAUAGCUCAGUGCGAAGGGCCUGGGUUCAAUCCUAGUAGUGCAAAAAGAACAAAACAAAUAUAAGAAACCAGCAGCUGGAUGGUGAGGCCGGAGAGGACCCUGCCUGUCUCCCUCCCUUUGCUGCGGAGCUGCCCCGUGAACUUCCCCCGGGGCCCCUCAGCCUCCCAUGACUUCGCCCCUGCCGCCCCUGCCCGGAAGGAGGCCAUGUCUUCCCUGUGACGUCUGUGACCCCAGUCACUUGGUGACGGCCCCGUGACCUGAGUGUCACCAUCACUGGGGUUGCUCCAGCUUUGUGAUGCCUGCAUCCUGACUCCCUCCGUCCUUUCUGCCUGGGCCGAUUCUCCCAGGGCCCUGGGCUCCUGGGGAGGCCUGGCCUUGUCCCUGGGCACCAAGCCGGUCCCAGGUGGCCCUGGUGCCAGGUAUCCUUGCUGCCAGGCCUUCUUGGUUGUCUGUCGCUUCCAUUUUAAGCCCAGAUCCUUUCUAUGGAGCUUUCAAUGCCCACACAUCUGGGCCUGGCCACCUGGCGCUUGGCCUCUUCCAUGUCCUCCUGGCCCUCCCCUGACCUCUAGCCACCUGGGCCUUCUUUUGUUCUUCACUUUCCUCGAGUGUGCUCCUACCUCAGGGCCUUUGCACUUGCUGUGUCCCCUCGCCCGGGCUCCCACCGCAGUCCUUCUGAGCUGUCUCAUGUUCAGCCUCGGCUCCACCAGGGCUUCCUGUACCAGGGACUUUCAGGUGGGCCGCACACCCACCCUGGUCACGCUUGCACACCCCCUGGUUGACUAUGGAUCCGGAACAGAACUGCCUCGGGCUCUGGUUAUCGUCACUGUAACACCCUCUGCGGGGGCCUGGCCCUGUGCCUGUCCUGACCCCAUGUGCCCUGUGUGGUUGGUGCCCAAGGAAUGGUUGCCAUUGACAGAGACGGGUGUCCAGGUCAUCUUUGUUUCCAUUGUACAGAUAGGGAAACUGAGUCAGGUGCAUCUGAGAUGAGCUCAGAUUGAGCAUUGUUGGGGAGGGCGCUGGAUCCCCCUCCGGUGCCUGGGGCUCCCUUUCCCGCCCCCAACACUGGGGUCCUGGGCUGUGGGCAGGAAGCCUCCUGGGCCGGGCGUGGCUGUAGCGCCAGUCGGUGGCUGCUGAGCUUCUGUGGGUUUGAACCCUGUGAGCUGUGGGCGCAGGAAAGCAGGCGAGUUCGGGGUGCGCUGGCCCUGAGGCCAGCCUGCCCUCUGGCCCCGAGUCUGCCCUGCGCAGUCCCUGCCCCGGCCCAGGACCCUGUUCCCUUCUCCACAUCGCCCUUCGCCCUUCUGUCCCCUGCACCCUCCCACUGCAUCUCCCCCAGCCCCACUCUGUCCGGGGCCGCUGUCCCCCCUUGCUUUGGCCCCAGCUCUCCUGUUGACCCCCUCCAUCCCGGUCCCUGUCCUGCGGGGUCGAAUCUCUCCCCUUUGGCUCUGUCGCCUGCGUCCUCUCUGGUCUCUAUCUUCCUGUCUCUGUCUGCCCCAUGUCCCUGUCCUUCUCCCCUCCAAACACCUGUGUCCCCUUGGCGGCAGCCCUGGUGCCACCCAGCUGUCUCCUGCCUGCAGGACAGGGUGCCCCGGGAACCAGGCCAGGCUGUGGAGCCCAGGGUCUGGGCCUUUGUCCCGGAUGCGUCCAGCCUUCUGGGGGCGGCAGAUGCACGUGGGCAGGACGUGGGUCGCUUUGGGGCCACAGUGGUCUUCCUAGGAGUGGGCCUGGAGUGCCUGCCCGGGCCAGGGCAACAGGGACAGAGCUGACCCCUGUCCUACAUUCCCCAG